This 62-nucleotide transfer RNA is filed under the name Nabicula flavomarginata. RNAcentral's name for it is "tRNA-Gly". The record is from RNAcentral. Lineage: Eukaryota; Metazoa; Arthropoda; Insecta; Hemiptera; Nabidae.
AUCCUUUUAAUAUAAUUAAGUAUAUUUAACUUCCAAUUAAAUAGUCCCACAGGGAAAGGAUA